Molecule: small nuclear RNA, 193 nt
Filed under: Gigantopelta aegis
Lineage: Eukaryota; Metazoa; Mollusca; Gastropoda; Neomphalida; Peltospiridae
Description: U2 spliceosomal RNA
Rfam family: U2 spliceosomal RNA
About the family: U2 is a small nuclear RNA (snRNA) component of the spliceosome (involved in pre-mRNA splicing). Complementary binding between U2 snRNA (in an area lying towards the 5' end but 3' to hairpin I) and the branchpoint sequence (BPS) of the intron results the bulging out of an unpaired adenosine, on the BPS, which initiates a nucleophilic attack at the intronic 5' splice site, thus starting the first of two transesterification reactions that mediate splicing.
Source: RNAcentral
AAACAUUCUCGGCCUUUUGGCUAAGAUCAAAGUGUAGUAUCUGUUCUUAUCAGCUUAAUAUCUGAUACGUCCUCCAUUGGGGGACAUCGAUAUUAAACUGAUUUUUGAAAGGGGGUGAGGUGCCCGGGGCUUGCUCCGCCCUCACCACGGGUUGACCCGGUAUUGCAGUACUUCCGGGAAUGGCCCACCACUA